This 471-nucleotide ribosomal RNA is filed under the name Pseudomonas deceptionensis. RNAcentral describes it as "bacterial SSU rRNA". It matches the Rfam family "Bacterial small subunit ribosomal RNA", at positions 65 to 531 of the family's 1533-position model. The record is from RNAcentral. Lineage: Bacteria; Pseudomonadati; Pseudomonadota; Gammaproteobacteria; Pseudomonadales; Pseudomonadaceae.
AGCGGUAGAGAGGUGCUUGCACCUCUUGAGAGCGGCGGACGGGUGAGUAAUACCUAGGAAUCUGCCUGGUAGUGGGGGAUAACGUUCGGAAACGGACGCUAAUACCGCAUACGUCCUACGGGAGAAAGCAGGGGACCUUCGGGCCUUGCGCUAUCAGAUGAGCCUAGGUCGGAUUAGCUAGUUGGUGAGGUAAUGGCUCACCAAGGCUACGAUCCGUAACUGGUCUGAGAGGAUGAUCAGUCACACUGGAACUGAGACACGGUCCAGACUCCUACGGGAGGCAGCAGUGGGGAAGAUUGGACAAUGGGCGAAAGCCUGAUCCAGCCAUGCCGCGUGUGUGAAGAAGGUCUUCGGAUUGUAAAGCACUUUAAGUUGGGAGGAAGGGCAUUAACCUAAUACGUUAGUGCUUUGACGUUACCGACGUAAUAAACAGCGGCUAACUCUGUGCCAACAGCCGCGGUAAUACAGAGG